Molecule: ribosomal RNA, 1494 nt
Filed under: uncultured bacterium
Lineage: Bacteria
Description: 16S ribosomal RNA
Rfam family: Bacterial small subunit ribosomal RNA
Source: RNAcentral
GAGUUUGAUCAUGGCUCAGGAUGAACGCUGGCGGCGUGCCUAACACAUGCAAGUCGAGCGAGAACCGAAAAGACAGAGGCUUCGGCCGAAGGAUUUUUGGGGAAAGCGGCGGACGGGUGAGUAACGCGUAGGUAACCUGCCCUAUACACGGGGAUAGCCACUGGAAACGGUGAUUAAUACCCGAUAGUCUCUUGUAACGCAUGUUAUGAGUGGGAAAGAUUUAUCGGUAUGGGAUGGACCUGCGUCUGAUUAGCUAGUUGGUGGGGUAAUGGCCUACCAAGGCAACGAUCAGUAGCCGACCUUAGAGGGUGAUCGGCCACACUGGGACUGAGAACGGCCCAGACUCCUACGGGAGGCAGCAGUGGGGAAUAUUGCACAAUGGAGGGAACUCUGAUGCAGCAACGCCGCGUGAGUGAUGAAAUAUUUCGAUAUGUAAAGCUCUGUUCUAGGGGAAGAAAAUGACGGUACCCUAGCAGCAAGCCCCGGCUAACUACGUGCCAGCAGCCGCGGUAAUACGUAGGGGGCAAGCGUUAUCCGGAAUUAUUGGGCGUAAAGCGUACGCAGGCGGCCACAAAGGUCAGAGGUGAAAGACAGGGGCUCAACCCCUGCGAGCCUUUGAAACCAUUUGGCUUGAGCAUAGGAGGGGAAAGUGGAAUUUCUAGUGUAGCGGUGAAAUGCGUAGAUAUUAGAAGGAACACCGGUGGCCGAAGGCGACUUUCUGGACUAUGUCUGACGCUGAGGUACAAAAGCGUGGGGUAACCGAAACACGAUUAAAUACCCUGGUAGUCCACGCCGUAAACGAUGAAUACUAGGUGUCAGUGAGCGAUCAUUGGUGCCGGCGCUAACGCAAUAAGUAUUCCGCCUGGGGAGUACGGUCGCAAGACUAAAACUCAAAGGAAUUGACGGGGACCCGCACAAGCAGCGGAGCAUGUUGUUUAAUUCGAGGCAACGCGAAGAACCUUACCAAAUCUUGACAUACCACUGACCUACACCGUAAAGGUGUACUCUGCUUCGGCAGCAGUGGAUACAGGUGGUGCAUGGUUGUCGUCAGCUCGUGUCGUGAGAUGUUGGGUUAAGUCCCGUAACGAGCGCAACCCCUAUUUUUAGUUGCCAUCAGGUAGUGCUGGGCACUCUAAAGAGACUGCCAGAGAUAAUCUGGAGGAAGGUGGGGAUGAUGUCAAAUCAUCAUGCCCUUUAUGAUUUGGGCUACAAACGUGCUACAAUGGUCGGUACAACAGGUUGCCAAGCCGCAAGGUGGAGCUAAUCCCAAAAACCGAUCUCAGUUCGGAUUGGGGGCUGCAACUCGCCCCCAUGAAGUUGGAGUUGCUAGUAAUCGCGAAUCAGCAUGUCGCGGUGAAUGCGUUCCCGGGUCUUGUACACACCGCCCGUCACACCACGGAAGUUGAGGGCGCCCGAAGCCUGUGAUCUAACCCGUAAGGGAGGAAGCAGUCGAAGGUGAAAUCAAUGACUGGGGUGAAGUCGUAACAAGGUAAC